This 460-nucleotide ribosomal RNA is filed under the name uncultured bacterium. Its description in RNAcentral is "partial 16S ribosomal RNA". It matches the Rfam family "Bacterial small subunit ribosomal RNA", at positions 28 to 506 of the family's 1533-position model. The record is from RNAcentral.
GACGAACGCUGGCGGCGUGCUUAACACAUGCAAGUCGAGCGGAAAGGCCCUUCGGGUACUCGAGCGGCGAACGGGUGAGUAACACGUGAGUAACCUGCCCCAGACUUUGGGAUAACCCUCGGAAACGGGGGCUAAUACCGGAUACGACACAGCUUCGCAUGGGGUCUGUGUGGAAAGUUUUUCGGUUUGGGAUGGGCUCGCGGCCUAUCAGCUUGUUGGUGGGGUGAUGGCCUACCAAGGCGACGACGGGUAGCCGGCCUGAGAGGGCGACCGGCCACACUGGGACUGAGACACGGCCCAGACUCCUACGGGAGGCAGCAGUGGGGAAUAUUGCACAAUGGGCGGAAGCCUGAUGCAGCGACGCCGCGUGAGGGAUGACGGCCUUCGGGUUGUAAACCUCUUUCAGCAGGGACGAAGCGUAAGUGACGGUACCUGCAGAAGAAGCGCCGGCCAACUACGU